RNAcentral lists this ribosomal RNA (253 nucleotides) under uncultured bacterium. RNAcentral's name for it is "partial 16S ribosomal RNA". It matches the Rfam family "Bacterial small subunit ribosomal RNA", at positions 524 to 776 of the family's 1533-position model. RNAcentral also lists the same sequence under 1 other name. The record is from RNAcentral.
UACGUAGGGGGCUAGCGUUGUCCGGAAUCAUUGGGCGUAAAGCGCGCGUAGGCGGCCCGAUAAGUCUGCUGUGAAAGUCCAGGGCUCAACCCUGGAAUGCCGGUGGAUACUGUCGGGCUAGAGUUCGGAAGAGGCAAGUGGAAUUCCUGGUGUAGCGGUGGAAUGCGCAGAUAUCAGGAGGAACACCUAUAGCGAAGGCAGCUUGCUGGGACGACACUGACGCUGAGGCGCGAAAGCGUGGGGAGCGAACAGG